Molecule: transfer RNA, 57 nt
Filed under: Bacillus nitratireducens
Lineage: Bacteria; Bacillati; Bacillota; Bacilli; Caryophanales; Bacillaceae
Description: tRNA-Val
Rfam family: tRNA
About the family: Transfer RNA (tRNA) molecules are approximately 80 nucleotides in length. Their secondary structure includes four short double-helical elements and three loops (D, anti-codon, and T loops).
Source: RNAcentral
UAGCUCAGCUGGGAGAGCACCUGCCUUACAAGCAGGGGGUCGGCGGUUCGAUCCCGU